This 124-nucleotide ribosomal RNA is filed under the name Penicillium egyptiacum. The record is from RNAcentral. Lineage: Eukaryota; Fungi; Ascomycota; Eurotiomycetes; Eurotiales; Aspergillaceae.
ACAUGCGACCAUAGGGUGUGGAAAACAGGGCUUCCCGUCCGCUCAGCCGUACUUAAGCCACACGCCGGUGAGUUAGUAGUUGGGUGGGUGACCACCAGCGAAUCCUCACUGUUGCAUGUUCUAG